Molecule: ribosomal RNA, 902 nt
Filed under: Bostrychia tenella
Lineage: Eukaryota; Rhodophyta; Florideophyceae; Ceramiales; Rhodomelaceae
Description: eukaryotic LSU rRNA
Rfam family: Eukaryotic large subunit ribosomal RNA
Source: RNAcentral
AACAACUCACCUGCCGAAUGAAUUAGCCCUGAAAAUGGAUGGCGCUCAAGCGAGUAGCCGACACUGUGCCGUCUGAGAAAAGAUAAAGAAAGAGAAGCAAAAAAUUCCAGAUGAGUAGGAGGAACGUGACGGUUGUAUAGAAGCGUGUGCGCAAGCAUGCGUGGAACGGCCGUUAGUGCAGAUCUUGGUGGUAGUAGCAAAUAUUCAAAUGAAAACCUUGAAGGGCGAAGCGGGGAAGGGUUCCACGCGAACAUUGAUUGGGCGUGGGUGAGUCGUUCCUAAGGCGUCUGGUAAUUGACUAGUUAAUGCGGCGAAAGGGAAGCAGGUUUAUAUUCCUGCACACGGAUGUGGAAAUGCGGUGACGCACACUGGGGCGGUGAAGUCGUCGGUUGCACUGGGCAGAGAUUUCUUUUCUGUUUGACGGAGCCUGACUGUACACUAUGGAAUCCGCUUGUCGGGAGAAAUAGGUAUGUCACGGCAAAGCGCCGGGUUUUUUAUCUGGCGUCCAGUUUGCGACUGGCGGACCAUGAAAAGCUGUCUGCUGGCAAAACAGCAAUGUUUUGUGUGAAAAAAUUCCACGCCGUAACGUACCCAUAACCGCAUCAGGUCCCCAAGGUGAACAGCCUCUGCUCGAUAUGAAAAAUGCAGGUGAGGGAAGUCGGCAAAUUAGACCCGUAACUUUGGGAAAAGGGUUGGCUCUAGUGCUGCGUAGGAUGUGGUUGCUGGUUGUAGCCAUGGAAAAUGAGUCUAGUUUCACGAUUCCUCUGCGGCUGAAAGGUAGUGGAGAAAAUUUUGGAACAUGAUUCUUUUCUGUGGUUCCUGGCGACUGUACCUACGGCAUGCAGCAAACUAGAACUGCAACGGACAAAGGGAAUCCGACUGUUUAAUUAAAACAAAGCAUU